This 87-nucleotide transfer RNA is filed under the name Streptomyces sp. Tu 3180. RNAcentral's name for it is "tRNA-Ser". It matches the Rfam family "tRNA". Rfam says of the family: Transfer RNA (tRNA) molecules are approximately 80 nucleotides in length. Their secondary structure includes four short double-helical elements and three loops (D, anti-codon, and T loops). Further hydrogen bonds mediate the characteristic L-shaped molecular structure. tRNAs have two regions of fundamental functional importance: the anti-codon, which is responsible for specific mRNA codon recognition, and the 3' end, to which the tRNAs corresponding amino acid is attached (by aminoacyl-tRNA synthetases). tRNAs cope with the degeneracy of the genetic code in two manners: having more than one tRNA (with a specific anti-codon) for a particular amino acid; and 'wobble' base-pairing, i.e. permitting non-standard base-pairing at the 3rd anti-codon position. The record is from RNAcentral. Lineage: Bacteria; Bacillati; Actinomycetota; Actinomycetes; Kitasatosporales; Streptomycetaceae.
GGAGGAUUGGCCGAGUGGUAAGGCACCGGUUCGCUGAACCGCGGUCGGGCCGGAGAGCCCGCGCACGUUCGAUCCGUGCAUCCUCCG